This 170-nucleotide ribosomal RNA is filed under the name Laccaria proxima. RNAcentral describes it as "5.8S ribosomal RNA". It matches the Rfam family "5.8S ribosomal RNA". From Rfam's summary of the family: 5.8S ribosomal RNA (5.8S rRNA) is a component of the large subunit of the eukaryotic ribosome. Lineage: Eukaryota; Fungi; Basidiomycota; Agaricomycetes; Agaricales; Hydnangiaceae. The record is from RNAcentral.
UAUACAACUUUCAGCAACGGAUCUCUUGGCUCUCGCAUCGAUGAAGAACGCAGCGAAAUGCGAUAAGUAAUGUGAAUUGCAGAAUUCAGUGAAUCAUCGAAUCUUUGAACGCACCUUGCGCUCCUUGGUAUUCYGAGGAGCAUGCCUGUUUGAGUGUCAUUAAWUUCUCA